Molecule: unclassified non-coding RNA, 785 nt
Filed under: Bombus terrestris (buff-tailed bumblebee)
Lineage: Eukaryota; Metazoa; Arthropoda; Insecta; Hymenoptera; Apidae
Description: misc RNA ENSBTSG00005035653.1
Source: RNAcentral
AAUACAGAAUCCAUAAUUGGUAUAUUUUUCAUAUCCUUGAAUCGCAAUAACCGUUUCCUGAAAAUCAUGACAGAUGACAAGUUAGCGAGUCGUGUUAGCAAGACGAGCUCUUGAUGAUAAUUGAUCAGCUCGGACGUGACAGCCGUGACUCUGACACCUGUGCUUCCGAAAAGAAAUCACGCGCUAUCAAAAAGAUAGAUCCGAGUAUUGUAUACCACAACGAACUGACCGUUCGUCUAUGCUGUUCAACUUGCCGUGUCUAGAACCAGACAGGGGAGCCGCGUCGAAGCUUGUUAAGGAGCUGGCCCGACGUCGUCCCGCCGCUAUUCGUGUUUAAGCAUCAUCGACUAUUAUGAACCGCCCGGCUUACUCCUUGAAAGGCGAGAUGAAAACCGCAUCCUCCUGUUUCAUCCAAGAAACGGUAAACUUCGAAGAUCUGGCUUUUACAAUUUUUACAAAUUCUGUCGGAUAUUUAACAAUGUUCACGCGCGUCCCUGGGUAAUACUCGAUAAUUUACGCGAUAAUUUAGAAAACUUUUCAUCCGAAAAUUCACAUUCUUCUUUUCGAGGUUGCUAUCGAUCGCCUCUCGUCUUUUUCGCAGGUACUCCGUUUUGAAAUUACACCAUGACGGAAGAUUUAGAAAUAUUAUGAUUUUUAAAGGACGAAACUUUGAUUCUUGAAAGAAACAUCGGCGCUAAUGGCAAAUAGUAAAUGUCUUGAUAACGUUAGCACUUGAAAAUUUGUCAUCGGUAGCGCGCGUGUAUCUAAACGCGUAUAUUGAGCAU